AUUGAACGCUGGCGGAAUGCUUUACACAUGCAAGUCGAACGGUAGAGGGGGCAACCCCUUGAGAGUGGCGAACGGGUGAGUAAUAUAUCGGAACGUGCCCAGUCGUGGGGAUAACGUAGCGAAAGUUACGCUAAUACCGCAUACGAUCUAAGGAUGAAAGCGGGGGACUCGCAAGAGCCUCGCGCGAUUGGAGCGGCCGAUAUCAGAUUAGGUAGUUGGUGGGGUAAAGGCUCACCAAGCCAACGAUCUGUAGCUGGUCUGAGAGGACGACCAGCCACACUGGAACUGAGACACGGUCCAGACUCCUACGGGAGGCAGCAGUGGGGAAUUUUGGACAAUGGACGCAAGUCUGAUCCAGCCAUUCCGCGUGCAGGAUGAAGGCCCUCGGGUUGUAAACUGCUUUUGUAC
This 408-nucleotide ribosomal RNA is filed under the name uncultured bacterium. Its description in RNAcentral is "bacterial SSU rRNA". It matches the Rfam family "Bacterial small subunit ribosomal RNA", at positions 30 to 441 of the family's 1533-position model. The record is from RNAcentral.